GAUGAACGCUGGCGGCGUGCCUAACACAUGCAAGUCGAACGGAAGGACGAUAAGCUUGUGUCUUUGACGUUUGCGGAUGGCGGGCGUGUAACGCGUGGAUAACGACCUUCUAUUUCUGGGAUAAUUACGGAAAUCCGUAUCUAAUAGCAGAUAAUAUGCUGAACCGCUGUGUGCAUUGGUGAUAGACGGUUUUGCCGUAUCGAAUAGCGGGUUCCGGGCUGGAUUAGCUAGUUGGUAAGGUCCCGGCCUAUCAAGGCGACGAUGCGUAGCCGACCUGUGAGGCUGAUCGGCCACACGGGAACGGAGACACGCUCCAGACUCCUACGGGAGGCAGCAGUGGGGAAUAGUAGGCAAUGGGCGAAAGCCUGACGCAGCAAGCGCGCGUGUGUGAUGAAGGCCUUCGGAUCGUAAAGCUCGGUUAUUAGGGAAGAACAGCUGUGGAAGUAAACGAGGCCUUCGUGACGGUACCGGAUAAGUAAGCACCGGCUAACUACGUG
Molecule: ribosomal RNA, 497 nt
Filed under: uncultured bacterium
Lineage: Bacteria
Description: partial 16S ribosomal RNA
Rfam family: Bacterial small subunit ribosomal RNA
Source: RNAcentral